This 415-nucleotide long non-coding RNA is filed under the name Homo sapiens (human). Its description in RNAcentral is "non-protein coding lnc-RALY-2:1". Lineage: Eukaryota; Metazoa; Chordata; Mammalia; Primates; Hominidae. The record is from RNAcentral.
AGAUUGUCUCAAGCCCCAGGAAAAAUGGUGGAAAAUUCACUGUCACCAUUGCCAGAAAGACCGAUUUAUGGCCUUCUGCUUCUCUUAAGCUCCCAAUUUGGCUUCAUACUUUACCUCGUGUAGGCUUCUAUUCCUGAAUCUUGGCUAAACUCCUUAGGUUUAACCUAUUGGCCUCAAAAAUAUUGGACAGUUGCAUUACCUCUCUACUUCCUUAUUACUAUAGUAAUUGGCUAUGUGCUCUUGUUUGUACCCCAUUCACUCGACUCCAUUCGUACAAUCACAGAUAACUAUGCUAAAAAUCAACAGCAGAAGAAAUACUAAGAGGAGGCCAUUCCAGCAUUAAGAGCUAUUUCUAUUUAGUGAAGUAAACCAAAUUUUCUUUCUUGUAGCCAAAGACCUUUACACCAAAAACUGA